RNAcentral lists this ribozyme (78 nucleotides) under Crocodylus porosus (Australian saltwater crocodile). RNAcentral's name for it is "Mammalian CPEB3 ribozyme (ENSCPRG00005012180.1)". It matches the Rfam family "Mammalian CPEB3 ribozyme". Rfam says of the family: The mammalian CPEB3 ribozyme is a self cleaving RNA located in the second intron of the CPEB3 gene which belongs to a family of genes regulating messenger RNA polyadenylation. This ribozyme is highly conserved and found only in mammals. The record is from Rfam by way of RNAcentral. Lineage: Eukaryota; Metazoa; Chordata; Crocodylia; Crocodylidae.
AUCUUCAAAAAAGCCACAGCAGAAGCGCGCACGGCACGGCACGGCCUGUCAGAUUCCAGCGAGUCUGCAAAUUCUGCU